AAUGAAUUGUUUGGUCCUUAGGCCCAACCGGCCAAAAAUUCAAGGAAGGCAUGAGUGCACUCCUCUUGGUACUUGCAGCAGGAAGAGACACACGCCUCUAGCGUCUCUACCACGAGCUGAAAAACGUUAGGUUGCCGAAGCGAUUGCGCAGCGAUUCUGAUCAAGAUUGUGGUCGUGUUCGACGUUCUCACGAUGAUGUGAUCCAAAAUUCCAUCAAUCAACAUCAUGGAUUCGCAACUUCUUCGUGCCGUCAUGUUCAUCAUUAACGCGUUUCAGACGGUAAUUCACGGCGAGGCAAUAACGGACGAACGCAACGAGGCGAUGGCAGAUGAACGCGGAGAAUUCAAGAUCUAAAAGCAAGCUAAACCUCCAACCGUAAAGUCACCUUCCAAUCGUGACGAGCCCAACACACGCAGAGUCGUAACGAAAGCGGAAAAAUACGAGAAAACUUACCGAAUUGAAACAUGGUUGCGUUCUCUUGACGUGCUCAAACUCUGCUUCAUGUCGGCAACUUGUUAGUUAAAGGAUGGACUAUUAAAGUUAGGUUGGUUGUCGUUGAAUUGCUGGCUUGGCUUUGGCUCGUGUCGCCGCCGGCUCCAGCUGGUGCGUGUUGCUGCGGCGGUGUUGCUCUUGCUGUUUCUGAUGAUGCUUGGAUUGCGUCGCGGCUUAUUGUUGCAGCUGUACCGUCAUGCUGAAAAUGCAUUGCGUACUCGUGUUUUUCCGCCGUUGAGUUUGUUGUUGUAGCCACUUUUGAUGAUGGCUUGCUUUUGGUUUAAUAGCUGGCGUGUGCGGUAACUUGGAUACAUUGUGUAGCAGCUCGGAAUGUUGGUUUGGCUACUGCGUUUUCUGUUGCAGCAGCUUACAUUUGCUUCAGCUGGUUUGAUGUUUCGGUUUGGAUGAAAUUGGUGUGCGUUGGUGCAGCUUUGGAUUGUGCUCAUUUUAGUUUGCAGAUGGCCUUUGUCCGCGAUCUCAUAUGGAAAAUCGAUUGCAAAAUGGGGAAAUAUCCAAAAGCUAAGAAUCAGUCAUGUUCAACAAUUCUCGUCUUUCGUCAUUCUCCAUCUCUAAUAAAUCAAAGACAACUUAUAUACUCCUCCCUGCGUUCUCUUGGCAUUUCUUAGACAAAUCCUUUGUGAAGUGUGGAAGCUGCAACAUCAUUGAAUUUCACUCACACAUUCCUUGUGUCACUGUUUGACUUACAUCCAUAGCGAGGAGAGCCAUGUUCAUCCAACCAUUGCUCGAUAUUACAUCCACCUUUGCCUGCGGCGGCCUGUUCGCAGAAAGCAAUACCUCUCUCUGGUCCAAUGAUAGAUUACCACCAACAAAUUGCCUAUAGAAAUGCGCCUGCAUCACAACAUUUUCUUUAACAUGCGGAUAUGUGACUUUUGGGUUUUCAAAGGAAAAUCUUUGGUGGUUGAUCAACCUACGAACCACCUCUUCAUCCCUGGGUCUUAUUGGAGGGUGAGCAUACUCUGAUACAGAUGACAGAAUCUCCAACAGGCCCCUUAUUUGUUUUAUUGGAUGUGUAAAACAUCAUUGGAUAAUGGUUUCAGGUUUGUACUGUAACUGGAUUAUGGAUAAUGGGUUAUUAUAUAUUACUAGAUUAUUAUUUGGAUGUGGAA
Molecule: long non-coding RNA, 1619 nt
Organism: Lathyrus oleraceus (garden pea)
Lineage: Eukaryota; Viridiplantae; Streptophyta; Magnoliopsida; Fabales; Fabaceae
Exons: 2
Source: RefSeq, a predicted model, not a curated record